Molecule: transfer RNA, 84 nt
Filed under: Candidatus Rifleibacteriota bacterium
Lineage: Bacteria; Candidatus Rifleibacteriota
Description: tRNA-Tyr
Source: RNAcentral
GGGGCUGCUGUGGAGUGGGAUCCUCGCGGGCCUGUAGAGUCCGUGCCUUCGCGCUAGGCCGUUCGAUUCGGUACAGCCCCACCA